AUUGAACGCUGGCGGCAUGCUUUACACAUGCAAGUCGAACGGUAACAGGCCUUCGGGUGCUGACGAGUGGCGAACGGGUGAGUAAUGCAUCGGAACGUGCCCAGAGGUGGGGGAUAACGCAGCGAAAGCUGUGCUAAUACCUCAUGUGAUCUGAGGAUGAAAGCGGGGGACCUGGCAGCAAUGUUUGGCCUCGCGCCUUUGGAGCGGCCGAUGUCAGAUUAGGUAGUUGGUGGGGUAAAGGCCUACCAAGCCGACGAUCUGUAGCUGGUCUGAGAGGACGACCAGCCACACUGGGACUGAGACACGGCCCAGACUCCUACGGGAGGCAGCAGUGGGGAAUUUUGGACAAUGGGCGCAAGCCUGAUCCAGCAAUGCCGCGUGCGGGAAGAAGGCCUUCGGGUUGUAAACCGCUUUUGUACGGAACGAAAAGGCUCUGGCUAAUACCUGGGGAUGAUGACGGUACCGUAAGAAUAAGCACCGGCUAACUACGUG
This 492-nucleotide ribosomal RNA is filed under the name uncultured bacterium. RNAcentral describes it as "partial 16S ribosomal RNA". It matches the Rfam family "Bacterial small subunit ribosomal RNA", at positions 30 to 507 of the family's 1533-position model. The record is from RNAcentral.